RNAcentral lists this unclassified non-coding RNA (329 nucleotides) under soil metagenome. Its description in RNAcentral is "partial contains 5.8S ribosomal RNA, internal transcribed spacer 2, and large subunit ribosomal RNA". The stretch from base 1 to 120 matches the Rfam family "5.8S ribosomal RNA", at positions 35 to 154 of the family's 154-position model. The record is from RNAcentral.
GAUGAAGAACGUAGCGAAAUGCGAUAAGUAAUGUGAAUUGCAGAAUUCAGUGAAUCAUCGAAUCUUUGAACGCACAUUGCGCCCCCUGGUAUUCCGGGGGGCAUGCCUGUUCGAGCGUCAUUUCACCACUCAAGCCUCGCUUGGUAUUGGGCAACGCGGUCCGCCGCGUGCCUCAAAUCGACCGGCUGGGUCUUCUGUCCCCUAAGCGUUGUGGAAACUAUUCGCUAAAGGGUGCUCGGGAGGCUACGCCGUAAAACAAACCCAUUUCUAAGGUUGACCUCGGAUCAGGUAGGGAUACCCGCUGAACUUAAGCAUAUCAAUAAGCAGGA